This 496-nucleotide ribosomal RNA is filed under the name uncultured bacterium. RNAcentral describes it as "partial 16S ribosomal RNA". It matches the Rfam family "Bacterial small subunit ribosomal RNA", at positions 29 to 507 of the family's 1533-position model. The record is from RNAcentral.
AUGCACGCUGGCGGCGUGCCUAAUACAUGCAAGUCGAGCGAACAGACGAGGAGCUUGCUCCUCUGACGUUAGCGGCGGACGGGUGAGUAACACGUGGACAACCUACCUAUAAGACUGGGAUAACUUCGGGAAACCGGAGCUAAUACCGGAUAAUAUAUUGAACCGCAUGGUUCAAUAGUGAAAGACGGUUUUGCUGUCACUUAUAGAUGGAUCCGCGCCGCAUUAGCUAGUUGGUAAGGUAACGGCUUACCAAGGCAACGAUGCGUAGCCGACCUGAGAGGGUGAUCGGCCACACUGGAACUGAGACACGGUCCAGACUCCUACGGGAGGCAGCAGUAGGGAAUCUUCCGCAAUGGGCGAAAGCCUGACGGAGCAACGCCGCGUGAGUGAUGAAGGUCUUCGGAUCGUAAAACUCUGUUAUUAGGGAAGAACAAAUGUGUAAGUAACUAUGCACGUCUUGACGGUACCUAAUCAGAAAGCCACGGCUAACUACGUG